AUAUCAAUAAGCGGAGGAAAAGAAACUAACGAGGAUUCCCCUAGUAACUGCGAGUGAAGCGGGAAAAGCUCAAAUUUAAAAUCUGGCGGUCUUUGGCCGUCCGAGUUGUAGUCUGGAGAAGCGUCUUCUACGCCGGACCGUGUACAAGUCCCUUGGAACGGGGCGUCAUAGAGGGUGAGAAUCCCGUCCAUGACACGGACCGCCGGCGGUUUGUGAUGCGCUCUCGAAGAGUCGAGUUGUUUGGGAAUGCAGCUCAAAACGGGUGGUAAAUUCCAUCUAAAGCUAAAUACUGGCGAGAGACCGAUAGCGAACAAGUACCGUGAGGGAAAGAUGAAAAGCACUUUGGAAAGAGAGUUAAACAGUACGUGAAAUUGCUGAAAGGGAAACGCUUGAAGUCAGUCGCGUCGGCCGGGGCUCAGCCUUGCAUUCGUUUGCUCGGUUUACUUCCCGGUCGACGGGCCAGCGUCGAUUUUGACCGUCGGAGAAGGGCCAGAGGAAAGUGGCACCUUCGGGUGUGUUAUAGCCUUCGGUCGCAUACGACGGUUGGGAUCGAGGAACGCAGCACGCCUUCGAUGGCCGGGGCGUUCGUGCCCACGUAUCGUGCUUAGGAUGCUGGCGUAAUGGCUUUAAACGACCCGUCUUGAAACACGGACCAAGGAGUCUAACGUGCCUG
RNAcentral lists this ribosomal RNA (673 nucleotides) under Laetiporus cincinnatus. RNAcentral describes it as "LSU rRNA". It matches the Rfam family "Eukaryotic large subunit ribosomal RNA", at positions 40 to 686 of the family's 3401-position model. The record is from RNAcentral. Lineage: Eukaryota; Fungi; Basidiomycota; Agaricomycetes; Polyporales; Laetiporaceae.